GCAGUGAGGAAUAUUGGACAAUGGGCGCAAGCCUGAUCCAGCCAUGCCGCGUGCAGGAUGACGGUCCUAUGGAUUGUAAACUGCUUUUAUACGAGAAGAAACCCUGCUACGUGUAGCAGCUUGACGGUAUCGUAAGAAUAAGGAUCGGCUAACUCCGUGCCAGCAGCCGCGGUAAUA
This 177-nucleotide ribosomal RNA is filed under the name uncultured bacterium. Its description in RNAcentral is "partial 16S ribosomal RNA". It matches the Rfam family "Bacterial small subunit ribosomal RNA", at positions 351 to 525 of the family's 1533-position model. The record is from RNAcentral.